This 22-nucleotide microRNA is filed under the name Blattella germanica (German cockroach). Lineage: Eukaryota; Metazoa; Arthropoda; Insecta; Blattodea; Blattellidae. The record is from RNAcentral.
UGACUAGAGUGACACUCGUCGA